GAGAAAUUCGCCCUCACGGGUGACUCUCCAACCCUAUGUUAUUGUACCUUCGUUGCUUUGGCGAGCCGCCUCGUGCCACCGACUUUCGCCGGUGAGUGCUCGCCAGAGGACCCAAAACCCUGAAUAUUAGUGUCGUCUGAGUAAAAAGUUUAAUAUUUAAAACUUUCAACAACGGAUCUCUUGGCUCU
This 188-nucleotide unclassified non-coding RNA is filed under the name rhizosphere metagenome. Its description in RNAcentral is "partial ribosomal RNA internal transcribed spacer region". The record is from RNAcentral.